RNAcentral lists this small nucleolar RNA (139 nucleotides) under Oryza glumipatula. RNAcentral's name for it is "Small nucleolar RNA Z247". It matches the Rfam family "Small nucleolar RNA Z247". Rfam says of the family: Z247 is a member of the C/D class of snoRNA which contain the C (UGAUGA) and D (CUGA) box motifs. Lineage: Eukaryota; Viridiplantae; Streptophyta; Magnoliopsida; Poales; Poaceae. The record is from Rfam by way of RNAcentral.
CCACUGGAUGAUGAAACGCUGGUAUCAUACAUACUGGCGGGCCUCGACAUCGACUAUAACCCUCUGGUAUCAACUGUUGUAGGUAGAUAUGAAUCUAUCUCUUUGAGUGAAUUGUAUGCACAGAUGCUUAGCUACGACA